CCUACGGGAGGCAGCAGUGGGGGAUAUUGCACAAUGGGGGGAACCCUGAUGCAGCGACGCCGCGUGGGUGAAGAAGCGCCUCGGCGCGUAAAGCCCUGUCAGCAGGGAAGAAAAUGACGGUACCUGAAGAAGAAGCCCCGGCUAACUACGUGCCAGCAGCCGCGGUAAUACGUAGGGGGCAAGCGUUAUACGGAUGUACUGGGUGUGAAGGGGGCGCAGACGGCGAUGCAAGCCAGGAGUGAAAGCCCGGGGCCCAACCCCGGGACUGCUCUUGGAACUGCGUGGCUGGAGUGCAGGAGGGGCAGGCGGAAUUCCUGGUGUAGCGGUGACAUGCGUAGAUAUCAGGAGGAACACCGGUGGCGAAGGCGGCCUGCUGGACUGCAACUGACGUUGAGGCCCGAAAGCGUGGGGAGCAAACAGGAUUAGAUACCCCAGUAGUC
This 440-nucleotide ribosomal RNA is filed under the name uncultured bacterium. RNAcentral describes it as "partial 16S ribosomal RNA". It matches the Rfam family "Bacterial small subunit ribosomal RNA", at positions 338 to 795 of the family's 1533-position model. The record is from RNAcentral.